CGUGAAAAAUAAUAGCGAAACAAGUUAUCUCACGUUUCUUUUUUGCAAAACAUUGGCUUCAGCCGAACUCUACAACCUACAAAUUAACAAAUGAAAUGUUUCCAUGCAAACAUCUAACCAGCUUCUCAUUAAAAAAAUUAACUCUUCCACUUGUGUUUAUAGGUAUACGAAUUGAAUGUUUGAGCUGCAGCUAAAGAGGAGGAUGUAGAAAUAGCAAUGGUGAAGUAAUGACAUAUAAAAAACACAUGGUGAGAAUUUCAUGCAUCAGUAACUUACAGAAGAAAGAAGAGACUCAUGGUGAGUAGCAAUAUCAAUACAAGAAACUGCACCAGACAAUGCCUUUAAACUUGUUCAUGCAAGCAACAAAAAACAAAGGAACAAAAAAGUGAGAAUGGUAAAUGAUUGCAACGCAGAAGUUUGCUUAGAAAAUCACGUUAACAAGAACCAUUAAGCAAUGUCUUAUUAAUGUUAUACCAUGAACUAUCAGCAAUGCUGCUUUCAGAAGUGCAAAUUUGCUGAGCAAACUUAUAGUUCAAGGACCAGUAGCAACCCAGAAGGAGAAAAAUCACAUUUUCCCUUUCACAUCUCACUGGACCUUUACAUGACAACCUUGUGACAGUUACAUUAGAAUUAAUCUUCGCCCAUAAUUCAAGGACCAGUAGCAACCCAGAAGGAGAACAUUCACAUUUGCCCUCUCAUAUCUCACUUGCUCUUUACAUGACUACCUUCCAACCAGGGACGGAUGUUCAAUUUUAAAUUUGGGGAGGCGAAUGUUCGUACAAAGCACAAAAAUUAGGCAUGAAAUACAAUACUAAUUAGAAACUUGGGUAUCGAACUUAUAUAAUUUGAAAAUAUUAGUAGUUUGUACUACUAUAAAACUGCAGUUUUUUUGGAGUUUUGGGGCACCUUGGGCCAUCCCUGCUUCUAACGAAAUCUGACUAUGACAUAGUCAGGUAGAAAUAUCUGCACUUAUGCUUACCAGAGUGACUGAUCUUAGGGCAUCUCGGACAUGACAUACCAACUCUGAAUCAGUUCAAUUAACAUCCUCCAUUUCAUAAAAUCCUGGCCUCUCAUAUGCUAAUUCGACCCCUAUGAUCUCUGUACCAGGUAGCUGUUCCACUGGGUCCGACAAAGUAGAUUUUGUAAACUAAGCCUGCACAGCGGGAAAAUCAUAUCGCACAACGAUAAAUUGCAAAUUAUAGCAUCAAUACGAGCUCAGUUUCAACCGUUACGUCCCCAAUUUCAGACACUAGUUCAGUUGUCUAUAAAUAUAUUUUCAUAUAUCACUCUAUUGUAAUCGUGUUCUAUGUUCAAUAGAAUCCCUCCGUGUGUUCCGGAACCCUACCUACAAACAUCAAAUAUACAUAUAUAAGUAUAGCUAUACAUAUAUAUAAAUAUAUAUAUAUAUAUAUGUAUAUUAGAGAGAGAGAGAGAGAGAGAGAGAGAGAGAGACUAGAGAGGACCUGAACAGGAAAAGAGAGAGAGGGGAAGGCCGAGUUGGAUCUGUCAGACGAUUGAAUAGUCUGGUCGGCGCAAACCCCAACACUCAAUCCCUGUUUGUCGCUCUGUCUCCUGUUGCCGCCAGACCGAUGGAACGAGAACGUCGCAAGGCUUUUCAAACUUCCAACACAAACCCUAACCCCACCGAACUACUUCUAGUCAACCCUGGUAGUUUAAUCCCCAAAAGUUCGU
This 1692-nucleotide long non-coding RNA is filed under the name Actinidia chinensis (golden kiwifruit). Its description in RNAcentral is "long non-coding RNA (ACHI_LNC006417)". The record is from RNAcentral. Lineage: Eukaryota; Viridiplantae; Streptophyta; Magnoliopsida; Ericales; Actinidiaceae.